UAGGAUAUGGCGCAAGGGAUAGCGCGGCCUGAAACCAUUCUCCCUGCGGUUCGGGAUGACAGGCAGAUCGAGGUUCGAUUCCUCGUGUCCGGG
Molecule: non-coding RNA, 93 nt
Organism: Mycena alexandri
Lineage: Eukaryota; Fungi; Basidiomycota; Agaricomycetes; Agaricales; Mycenaceae
Source: the annotation of a GenBank genome assembly